GUCGCGACCGGGCUGGAGCUCACGGGCCUCAUGCGCCCGUUCGACCUGGAGGUGUGGUUCGGGGAGCGCGUCGCGGUGC
This 79-nucleotide transfer RNA is filed under the name Cellulomonas biazotea. RNAcentral's name for it is "tRNA-Met". The record is from RNAcentral. Lineage: Bacteria; Bacillati; Actinomycetota; Actinomycetes; Micrococcales; Cellulomonadaceae.